This 396-nucleotide ribosomal RNA is filed under the name uncultured bacterium. Its description in RNAcentral is "partial 16S ribosomal RNA". It matches the Rfam family "Bacterial small subunit ribosomal RNA", at positions 360 to 774 of the family's 1533-position model. The record is from RNAcentral.
AAUCUUUCACAAUGGAGGGAACUCUGAUGCAGCGACGUCGCGUGAACGUAGAAGUCUUUCGAGUCGUAAAGUUCUGUCCUAUGGGACGAUAAUUACGGUACCAUAGGAGGAAGCCCCGGCUAACUACAUGCCAGCAGCCGCGGUAAUACGUAGGGGGCGAACGUUGUCCGGAGUUAUUGGGAGUAAAGGGUACGCAGGCGGCCAUGUAAGUCAGAUAUGAAAGGUCUGGGCUUAAACCAGGUGAGCAUUUGAAACUGUGUGGCUUGAGUGAAGGAGAGGAAAGUGGAUUACCUGGUGUAGCGGUGAAAUGCGUAGAUAUCAGGAGGAAUACCAGUGGCGAAGGAGACUUUCUGGACUUAUACUGACGCUGAGGUACGAAAGCGUGGGGAGCAAACA